CGCGAGGGCGGGGGUCAGAGGGCGCGGGGCGGGGCCGCGCCGGACAUGGCGGCCGCCGAGAGACCCGACUCGGAGGUGGAGGAGGCCGGGCACGUCUUCCUCCUGAUGAAGAAAGACUAUCGCAUCUCCCGCAACGUGCGCCUCGCCUGGGUCCUCAGCAGACUCCAUCAGGUCAUCUGGGCUGUGCCAGAGCCGGAGCUGGUAAAGUCAGAAAAUGAACUUGAUGUUCUCAGCAUCCUGCCUAAUGGGUGGCAGCCGGACGAGCCCGUCCAGCCCAGGCCCUAUCUCCUUGUGCCCUCUACACGGGUCACCUUCCUGGCCCGCCAGUACCGAUUUGUGAUUGAACUUGAUCUGAGCCCUUCCACGGGGAUUGUGGAUGACUCAACAGGGGAGAUAAUUUUUGAUGAAGUGUUUCAUGCCCUUUCCCGAUGCUUGGUGGGAUUGUUAAGACCCUUUCGUAUCCCUGGUUCAGACAUUAUCUACCAGCCAGAGAUCUUUGUCACCAUCCAGGCGUAUUCCUCCAUCAUUGGCCUGCAGUCCCAUCAGGUACUAUUCCAGGGUUGUCAGCUGGAUGAGACGAAGCGAGAGGCCUUUCUGCACCAAGUUUACACACAGCUAUGUGCCUUUGAGAACAAAGUGGCAGAGAUGCUCCAGCAACAGUAUGAACCCAAACCGCAGGUAGAUUUGUCACCCCUGAGCCAAGAGAGCCCUAGUGAUGUGCAGGAGUCAUCUGGGAGGAAGCCCAGCGUGUCUGUUGUCACUGCCGAUGUUGGCCUUGUCAGCAUGGUCCGGCAGGGGAUCCUAGCACUGCAGCUGCUGCCCUCCAACUCCAGCGCAGGUAUAAUAAUAAUUACGGAUGGUGUGACUAGUGUCCCUGAUGUGGCUGUGUGCGAGACUUUACUCAACCAGCUCCGCAGUGGCACAGUGGCCUGCUCCUUUGUACAGGUGGGCGGUGUCUACUCAUACGAUUGCAGCUUUGGCCACGUUCCCAAUGUGGAACUGAUGAAAUUCAUUGCCAUGGCCACUUUUGGUGCUUACCUCUCCACGUGCCCUGAGCUGGAUCCCCUGAGCCUGGAUCUGAAUGCGUAUCACAAGGCAUUUCUGCUAUACUCCUUUCUGCGUACUGGGGAGUCCCUGAAUCCAGAAUACUACUGCGGUGAGGAACGUGCAUGUCUUCCUUCCAGCAGAUGGAUGUCUUACAGCACCUGUCUUUGGGUGUCCCAGCACAGACUGUUCAAUGAGCAUCUGGUGUCUGCAAGCAGCAACCCUGCUCUGGCGAUGAGGAGGAAGAAGCACACAGAGAAGGAGGUGCACGCUGACCUUGUGAGCAUUGUCUCAGUCCGGCUGCGCGAGGGCUACAGCAUCCGUGAGGUUAACAUCACGAAAGGUGGGUCUCAGCUGGAGGUGAAACUAGUGCUGCUUUGGAAGCAUAACAUGAGGAUAGAGUACUUAGCUGUGACACCCUGGCCCCUGGACCCAUCAAAGCGCAGCACAUGGGUGGAGGUAACGAUGGAGGGAAGCUAUGACAUCUUGCAUGACAUCAGUUGCACCAUGAGGAAGCCUAUCACCAGUCUGUACCGCACUACAGUCAUCCGGCGCUUCUGGAACACCUUGCAGAGCAUCAACCAGACAGAUCAGAUGUUGGUUCAUCUGCAGUCUUUUGACACAGUCCCAGAACACUUCACCAUUCCUGAGAGCACCAAGAAUGGGGUGCCCCUCUUCUACAUCCCCCCAGGCUCCACCACUCCGGUGCUGUCCCUGCAGCACAGUGGGUCUGACUCGAGCCAUUCCCAGUUUGCCUCCUACUGGAAGCCUAUCCUUUCCAUGGAUGCCAACUUCUGGCAGAGGUGGCUGCACAUGCAUCGUAUAGUCCUCCUUCUGGAGCAUGACACGCCUGUGCCCAAGCACCUGCACACGCCGGGCAACAAUGGCCGCUACAGCACCAUCCAGUGCCGCAUCUCUCACUCGGCGCUCACCUCCUUGCUGCGGGACUGGAGCAGCUUUGUGCUGGUGGAGGGCUACUCCUACGUCAAACUGAUACACAGCUCUGAAGAUCCCACACCUUCCUCGUUUUAUGUGGUGCGGAUCAUCUCCAAAGCUCCCUGCAUGGUUCUCCGGUUGGGGUUCCCCAUUGGCACACCUGCACAGGCCAGGAACAAGAUAGUGGAGGAGUUACGGGACCGAAUCUUGCAGCUGCGCUUUCCCCACAGGGUCCAGAGCAAGGAGGCAACUCCAAAAGCAAAGAGGAAAAUGUUUGGCAGUAGUUCUCCCUCCAAGUCUCCACCUGUGGCUGGGGCCCAGUCAGCCCUCUCAGACAGACCCUGCCUCGUUGUGCUGCACAAACCGUUGGAGAAGCUACUCAUCAGGUAUGAGAAGCUGCCUUCUGACUAUCGAGUUCCCUUCAUUCUCAACCUGGAGCAUCCCCCAGUGUCUGGCCCGCUCACUAUGGUGGCCAAUCGCACUGCCUCUUCCACCCUGGCCUCACUGUCCCGCUACUUCUAUCACCAGCGUUGGAUCUGGAGUGUCCAGUCGGGGCUGGCACCGGCUGUGCCCAUCACUGCUGUAGCCCAACUCCUUUCCACACUCACAGAGGUUCGUCUGUCAGAGGGUUUCCACUUUGCAUCCAGUGGGGAUGGAAUUAUCAACAUGGUGCUGGAGCUGCCCAUACAGAUUGAUGGCUCCAGUGAGAGCAGCAGUGGCAGGGAGAAGCACACCUGUGUCGUCCAAUACAUCCUCUUCCCACCCCACUCCACCUCCACCAAGGACAGCUUUUCCACAGAUGAUGACAAUGAUACGGAGGUAGAGGCCAUUGAGGUGGACACAGAACUGAACCUGGUCACUGAGUGCUGGGUAGAGCCACAGAGCGGCCAUGUCCACAGUACUGCUGAGAAUUGGAAGCACCUCCAUGGCUUGCCCUACCAGAAAAUACCUAAAGCGCUCUAUCCCCGGGACCUUGCGUGCAUUGCCACCAUGCUGACCUUUGAGUACAUCAGCCAGUUGUGCCAGAACAAGGAGUGGGUCUGCCCUCCUUCAGACACCAAAGCUACUGAAGAUCCAGACAUGGGGGCUGGUUUUCGAGUGCAUGAGAUCCCAUUCCAGUUCAACCUCAUGAAGCUGUUGCCCAGGUGCCAGCAGGUUGAAAUGUUCUUCCUAAUGCUGACAAAAGAGAAUGAGGAGGUGACCAAGGACUCUUCGUUUGUGCCCAAUGAAAUGCUACUAAACCUCUUCCAUGGCUGCCUGCAGCAUGACCUCAGUGACCGGGAGAUCCCCAUGGCUGAUGCUGAUCAUGUGGCUUUCAUGGAGCAGGUUCUGCAACGGGAUCGUGAUGGCCAUCAACCCCCCUUCACACUCCCUGUGAUCAGAGAAGAAAUGCUGAAAGCCUCUGGGACCCUGGAGCAGCAGGAUGCUUCUGCAUCCUAUCAUCUUGUUGGCAGCAAUGGCACCAGGGAUAUGACUGGCUCCACAAGUACUCUGCAGAGCCUUGGCAACACAGAGCUGCCUGAGGAUGACGUGACCCUGAGUGACACAACGGGGCCCUUUCCCCCACAAUGGCGAUGUUAUGCCAAGCUGGUCAACCCGCAGCAUGUGUUCCUGACCUUUCUGCCAGCCACCUUCUCAGAUGUACAGAAGCUGAUGGCCUGCGGGUUGGACAAACCUUCAAAAGAUGAGAGUCGAUCUGGAGAGGAUACCCUGGGACCUGUCUGUGCAGAGCAAGUCAGGGCUGAGGCUGAAGAAGGGGAUGCUGCAGUGCCAUUACCUACCCUCAGCAUAACACCAGCCCAUGAAGUGAGCCAUGACCCUGGAGAACAGGGUGGCCCCUCACGGAGAGAUGUACAUAUCUCCUUCUGUCGCCAGAACUCGCAAUCUGAGCUAGGCGAGUGCCGCAGAUUUCGCUGCCCCAUUUACAUCUACAGCUGCUCUUUGGAGCUGUUACGAGAGCAGCUUGUCAGCCCACGGGCACACCGUCCUCCCCGGGACAUCUUUUUCAGGUCCCAGUCUCUGGAACGUCCUCCUACUGCUGCUUGGCUAGACCACAAGCAUAAGGAGUUGGUGAGUUACUGCACACUGCUUCAGGAGCACUCCCACCAGUGCUAUGUGAAAGGGCUGUUCAAGAGCCUUCAGCAGUCACACAGCAUCAGCUCCCAGGACCUACUUACAGCCAUGGACUACUGUGAGGAGCUGCUCCAAGAGAUUGACAUCACCAACUUCUUGCUGACGGUGUGCAGCCAUGUCCGCUCAUUCAGAGAGAGCCACCAACAUUUCCGUACGCACUCCAAGACAGCCAGCUUCCAAGUGGGCAGCAUAGAGCAAGAAGAGGAGCAGAGCUCUAGGGAACGGGGUGUCUUGGUCUCUGAAUCAAGUGCGGAAAUGGAGGACUACAGUGAGCAGGACUCCCAUAAUGUUGCUAGCCCCACAGAGGAGCCAAAGAGCAGUACGGGCACCAGCUGCUGUUCAGAGUUUCCCCUCUCACUGCUGGAAAUUGGACAGCCCUGCCAGGCGCACCCUGACUUGCAUAAAAUUAUCCAGGAAAAAUUCCUGGAAAUUGGAAGUUUACAUUUCAAGCCGGUGCCAUCAAAUCCUCACUAUUUCUUUUAUUGCCCACCAUCAGCCAAGAAAGAGGAAGAGGCAUCUCGGGAUCAGGCAGACAGGAAAGGCAGUGAGGACAUGGAGGGAUCAGAGGCAGAACUGGCAGCUGAAGAAGGGACUGUGUCUGGGUGCUGCAUUGCCACAGAGAGUGACCCAGAGCUGGAGGUGGAGUACCGCGAGAAGCUGGAGCAUGAGUUCCCAGACACAGAUUCCCUCUCAGACUCCAACACAGUGAACCAGGAUGAUGACUCCUUCAGCGUGCUGGGAGGGGACUCACUCAAUGAGCAGGAGUUCCUGGAGCAGGAGAUGCCCCCGCUCUUUGUGCACCUUACCUGCUCAGUGAAGCUGCGUAGCCAGCACAGCUCCAUGCCUGUGCAGUCCCUGCCAACCUGUCUAGGGGAAGUUCUGGGCUGCCUGGAAAGCUGCCAAGGCUUGAACACCAUUGACUUGGGGGACCUCUGUGUGACCCUGGACAUCUUUGUGCUGACACUGCCCCUGGAGAUAGAAGUUGUGAACGCAGACAUUCUCCACAACAGAUGCACCUCGGAGAGUAGCGUGUCUUUCACACGCUCUCCAGGGCAGCCGUCCUCUUUCCGCUCAGAUGAAGAUAUCAUGCACAACUUGGAACGGCUCCCGUCCACAGGAGAUGAGAGGCACCCUGCACUUUCCAACCUCCCUGGAGUGCACAGGCAGGCUAUUGAAGCCACUAUGAAUGAGAUUCGCUGGCUCCUGGAUGAUGAGAUUGUGUCUGCGCUGCGCCACUCGCAGGUCAUCAGCACCUCCAUCCUGCACCGGGUGGCCACCCACAUCUAUAACUCCAAGGGACGGCCCAGCUGCCACAGCGAGGUGGUGCUACUCCAGUUUGUCUUUGGACCUGAGCACUCUCUGGAGAAGUUCAAGGAGGAGUUUAGAAGAAUGGCUCUGCCAGGCUACAUGCUUAAUGCAGAAGGCAGUGACUACCACUACAUCUCCAUCAGCCGCCUGCACUCCAGGCGGGCAGCUCCAAACCUUUCGGGGACACCCUGCUUGCAGCAGCCAUCUGGAGGGGGUACCAGGACAGCCCUGGGCCAGGCAGGCCAGGAGGGGAGCAGUGAAGCAGAGGCAGAGGGCUCUGAGCUACACCAUGCAAGCUGUGUCCUCCCAGAAGAAGCCCGGGGUCUCUGGGGGUGGCCGGAGAGCGAGACACGCAUUGUGCCAGACACAGGAAACCCCGUAGGUGGGGGCAGCCACACCCAGGAUGAGGUCCCAGGAGAAGCACUGAGCCUUGACCAGAGCAGAGCACCUGGCCAUGAUUCCCUGGAGGAGGCAGCUCCAGAGACAACCAUACAGUCACUGCCAUCCUCAUCCUCCGAAAAGGGCAACAGUGAGAAAUCACCAUUGGUGACACCAUCUGUAGCAAGCCUGUCUGACUCCGUAACGCAGGGCAGGGAAGGCUCCAGCAAGCAGCGUCCCAGCCGUGUGCAAAGCCUCGUGUCAAGCCAGGGCAGCAUGGACUCCGACCACCUGGGUUACGAUGGGGGAAGCAGUGACUCGGAGUAUGAGGAGGCGCUAAUGAGUGACCAGGAACCCAGGUGUCCCCUCAUGCCGGAUUUCUGGCUCAUCAUAAAAAUCCAGCAGGACCGAGUAGAGGUCUAUUACCACACACGCAGCCUGAGUGUGGAGAAGGCAGCAUCAGCAGAGACAGAAGAGGAGCAGCCAGGGGAGUGCCAGAGUCUCAACCAGGUGGUGGUGAAGAAGAUCAGUGAAAUCUGCAGAGUUGUCAAUCAGCGCUUGCUGCUGCAGGACCUGCAUGACAGCCACAUAUGCAACUCAUUACUGGUGGCAGAAAGUGAGGAGGACAUCUGGAAGAGUGAAACGCCCUAUACUUCAUACAGGCAGCGCGUCAUGCCUACAGACGACUACUCUGUAGAGGAGAGCUACCAGCCCCGGGACUACCUGGCUGCCACCAUGCAGUUCAUGCCUGGGCACUUUGCUUGUGAUGUUGUGUGGAGUACACUCAUCCAUGUGCAUUCACGCCUCAAGAUGGGCCCCAACAUGGGGGUCUCGCGAGCUAUCCAGGCGCUUCGCUCGGUGCUCAACGCCUUCUCUGUGGUGAACAGGAAGAAUAUGUUUGUCUACCAGGAACGUGCCACUAAAUCUGUUUUCUACCUCCGAUUGACUGAAACCACCUACAGUGGGAAGGUGUGGGAAGCAGAGAGCACCCUUAGUCCAGCAUCUCGCUCGCUGGCACUGACACGCAGCCAGGAGCCCAUUUACACUGAAGAUCUAAUGGGUUCUCGUUCCUCUCUGGAUACAGCCUCAUGCCGUAGUGUGGACUCUGCCCGCCCUGUGGGACAGGUAGACAGGCACAUCCAGCUGAUGGUCCAUGGUGUUGCCCCAGCAGGGCCUGAGAUCACAGAUGAGCUGGUGAAAGUGCUGCGCAGACGCCUGGAUGAGGCCACCCUGGACAUCAUUACUGUGAUGCUGGUGCGGAACUGCAAGCUGACCCCAGCAGAUGUGGAGUUUAUCCAGCCCCCUGGAACGCCGCCCACAGAGGUCCUGCAGUUCGCACUGCCACCCUCCGCCCUGCCUUGGCUGCAUGCGGUGGCCUACUAUCUGCGCCAGAACCUGCUCAUCUUCCUGCACACCCCGAAGUACACGGACAGCAACGUGGAGCACCACUUCAAGCACUACUUCAACCACAGUGGGAGCAUCCCUGACCAGGAUCUCUAUCUGUACAACAAGCCGGGUGGCCAAGGCACUGGUGGAAAAGGUACCAUGUCGGACCUUGUGCAGCACCUCUUUCCACUCUCCCACUUCCAAGGAAUCGCGUGCAUUGCACUGACAUUCGUGGAUGAGCAUGGCAGCCCCACCUCACUGCCCCAUGGGGAGAGGCCUGACCCUCUGAAGCUGCCUUCCUCCUCACCCAUCAUGGGCCUGCUGCAGGAUGCUGACUUUGAAAGCCUCACCGCAGUCAGCAGGCACCAGCCGGAGACCAGCACCCUGCAUUCAGAGCCCCGCAUGCUGGUGCGCCUGGAUAUCUGGGAGAAGGGCAACAUCAGCCUGCUGCAGCUGUCGGAGAAGCUGCGUGGGGCCCUGCGCCAUGCUCUUUGCGACGCCGUCAUGGAGUUCCUCGUGCUGCCAGCCCCGCUCUGUGUGGAGGCCACCAGCCCCCUGGGUGCUGCAGACCUGGAGGAGCUGAGCUCUGCAGGAGGCCUAAGGAGGACCAUGUCAGAGACCAAGGGCCUGGCCCUGGCCACUGGUGGGGCUGGCAGGAGCUGUCCUCCACCCUUGCACUUCACCUCUGCCCCUUCGUCCAGCUCCGGGGAGCCAGUGACACCCACAAGCAAGCUGGGACGCCGCAGCUUCUGGGACAUGCUGAGCAAGGCAGAGUCCUCGGAGCUGGGCAGCCCCAAGACUACUGAUGACAUUGUGCUGGAGAGGCCAGAAGAGGCUCGCACGAGGCGGCGGCACAAGACUGAGAGUGUCAAGCAGCAUCUGAGCCAGGAUCGGGCCACAGCCACAGCUGAACUGGAACAGGCACAGAGGCGCCGAGCCUGCCAGUUGGAAGAAGGGGAUGUAGGUACCAUGCACCCACUCUUCAAUCAAACUUGCCAGCAGUGGAUGGCAUUCAUGAACCACCUGGGGUGCCCUUCGGUGCAGCAGUGCUCAGUGGAGAUUGUGUCUCGUUUCCUCCUGUCCUCCAUCCUGGUGGAAGUGGUGAGCCUGGUCACUGCCCUGGCGAGCGACACCACUGUCAAGGUUUUUGAGCAGAUCUGCUACCAUCAGGGCACUGCCUUCCUGCCCUAUAAGCCUGGCCAGAGCGCCAGCCCUCGCCCUGCAGCCGUCAGACACUUCAUCCUGCUGGGACGCAACUUCCAGCAGUGGCGUUGCAGCACCGAACAGGCUCACAAAGGGCUCCAGCGCUUUGAGGCCAUGGAAUUCAGCUCAGCAGAGAGAGGCUCUGAUCCUAGCCUUGCUGGACGAGACCUGGCACCUCGGCAAAGGUUCCUCUUCAUGGAGAUCAUCGACAAAAAGCUGACGCUCUACACUUAUAACUGGUCCCCAGACCUGGGGGCCAACCUGAACUGCUCCCUUACUCGCCUGCUGCAGUGGCAGAAUGCUCGGUCCCACAUUGUGCACUGCCUGCUCAGCCAGAAGCUGGGACUCUUCCACCACCACUGCUUCAUGGACACACCAUGGCAUGAGGACAGCAAGCAGGAGCCAAAUCCUUUCCUGAACUCCACUUUGGAGGUGGAUGCGCUGAUCCGGAGCUCCAGUCCCCCACCUAGCAAGGAACAAGGCCGGCUGAGCAGCUCUGCCCGCAGCCUCCCAUCUCUGCACUUCCAUCCCGAUGUGGUGCCCUUUGAUGAAGCUCUGCGGGAUGUUACCACCGUCAAGCGCAUACCCCAUGGGCCUGACUUGGGACCUUUUGACCCUGUGUCUUGGCAUGGGGCUCAGUUCCUGGAAAUCAAGAGCAUGGAGAGGAAAGAACUGGAGAAGCAGAUGAAGAUUGAAAAUCUCUUUGUUACCUGGCAGCAGAGAUCGGCGCAGUCCAACAUGCCUAUCAGUUUGGCAGACCUGGAGACCCUGAAGCAGUCCUCACGCCUGGUUCACUACUGUGCUACUCCCUUGCUCUUUGACCCAGCCUUCCGGCAGCAGAUCCAGACUGACCAGCAGGGCAAGGUAGAGGGGAAGAAGCGCCACCGCUCAAAUGACUCUACAGCUUCAGGGAGAGACCGCAGCCACAGCUGUGACUCGGCAGAAGCGCUGCCCUGCAAGGUGAAGGAGGAACCCUGGCUGCAGGAGAUGUGCAAUGCCUUCUUGCAGCAAUACAUCCAGUACCUGCAGAGCAUGGGCUUCAUUCUGGUCCAGGUCCGGCCACCCUCACCCACCACUCGCAGUAGCACCAGCCGGAUCCGAGCUCUGGCAGCAAUGGGUGUGGAGGGGAGAGGGUCCUUUUCCUACACGAAGCCAAAAGCAGAAGGUAGUCCAAAGAGCACAAGCCCUGCUGUUGCCACCUAUCAUCUACAGAGAGCUCUUCCGGGUGGGAUUGUACUGAUGGAGUUGGCUUUCCAGGGCUAUUACUUCUGUGUGAAGCAGUACGCGCUGGAGUGCUCGCGGAUCCCCAUGGGCCAGUCUGUGAACUCCCAGGGCACUCUUACAGCCAGAGCUCGCAGCAAGAGCUGCAUGGGACCCAGCUCCGUCUCUGAGUCUGCGCUCUCUAUGCUCUUCACGGAGGAGUGUGACAAGGUGCGGGACCUCAUGCACGUGCAUUCAUUCAGCUACGACUUCCACUUGCGUAUAGUCCACCAUUAUCUGCUGGGUUCCCACAUGACUCUCCGCCAGGGCUACCAUCUCACCAGCUUCCUGGAAGAUUUCAUUGCCCACCACCCCGACAUCCCCAAAUUUGGCCGCAACCACGUUUUCCAAGGCAUGCUGGCCCUGCCCACCAACAUGAUCACUGCACACCAGCUGUACAACUACAUCGCUGACCACGCCAACACCUACCACAUGAAACCCCUACGCAUGGCCCGGCUGGCCACAGGCAGUGACAACAAGAAGGGGACACCAGGCACAGAGCAGAACGAAUAUGCGCUGGUCUCUAUUUGGAACAGCUCGGGCUCCUACAAGGACUCUGAAGGUCUGCGUCAUCAUGAUGACUUUGAUGUGUCCCUCCUGGUGUGUCACAGUGCAGCACCGUUUGAGGAGCAGAGUGAGGCAGAGAGACGCAUGCUCCGCUUACGUUUCUACGUCAUCAUGACUAGCCAGCGGGAGCUCUUUCCCCGGCUCACAGCUGACAUGCGACGCUUCAAGAAGCUGCCGCGCUUGCAGCGGGAAGUGCUGGAGCCUGUGGUGGGCCGGGCGGCCUGGGAGGCAGCGGAGCCGGAGACAAGCCUGGGGCGGCAGCAGCCAGCAGAGCGGGAGCUGUGGCAGGACGUGGAGGACAGCAGCGAGUUCUACGCGGGGGGCACGCAAGUCAAACUGGGACCAGGGCUCUUCUACACCUCACCACUCUUCCCCUUGCUGGCCUCUGAGGUGGCCUCAGCCCAGAAGCAGCUCAGCAGCAUGGUGCAGCUGGCCAAGUGCCACUGCCGCAGGGACAACCUCUGGAAGCGCCUCUUCCUUCUGGAGCCUCUAGCUUCUGACAAGCUGAAGCUGGGCAAGCUCUCGCUGGUGGAGCUGGAGGAGCUGCUCGACGCCGUGCAUGGGAAAUCCAUUGCUGAUGUCGACCCCCAGCUGGGAUGCUUCCUCACCAUGACAGUCUCCUGGUACCAGAGCCUCAUCAAAGUGCUGUUGAGCCGCUUUCCACAGAGCUGUCGGCACUUCCACAACGCUGAAACCGGCACCCAGUAUCUGGUCGUGCUCAACCAGAAGUUCACGGAUUGCUUUGUUCUUGUGUUUCUUGAUUCCCAUUCAGGAAAGACGCAGAGCCUCACUGUGGUUUUCCGGGAGCCAUUCCCAGUGCAGCCCCAGAACAGCGAGAGCCCUCUGCCACAGCUUGUGUCUACGUACCACCACCUGGAGUCAGUUAUCAACACUGCCUGCUUCAACCUCUGGACAGGCCUGCUCUAGCACUGGCACCCGUGUCCUGGAGCAAUGCGUGUACUGGACCUCUCUGCACCGCUACACCGUGGGUGACGAUGGGGAAGAACAGGCCUCUGGGAGGGACCUGUGCUCUGGCACUGCAGGCAGCGCUGCUAGCAGCAUGCAUGGGUACUGAACUGAGGAGUCUGGGGAUAUGUACCUCCAUCGUUUGCUGGCUGGCUGGUGUGGCCCUCACUGCGCUGUUUUCAGUGGGUUUGAUACUGAAUGACCUUGAACCGAACCGCAAGGGCAGGAGCUCGGCAGCUGUGGCUUGGCUGAAGCAGAGCGACUCUCAGGGACAUGGCUCGCAUCUGCAGGGUCAGUGCUAGGCACUGCAGGACUUGGAAGCCCAGAGCCCUCUUCCUACAACUCCAGGCACCAGCUGGAGCUGGAGUGGGAAAACUUCUGCCCUUCCCAAAGAGUGAAUGCUCCCCUUGGCAGGGGAGACUAGAAACCUCUCCCUGGACACCCCUGCAGACUGGAAGUGACGGGUCUCCUGUGUACCUUAAGUCAUCUACAGUGGUGCCCAAGCCAUCCCCAGAUAUGACAUGCUGCAGACGGUACUUGAGCAGAUGAGCGUCCAACUCCUUAGGCUGGACCAGUAGGGCCUGGGGAAGGGAAAUACAACAUCGAUGGUCCUAACCU
RNA transcript from Harpia harpyja (harpy eagle), 11799 nucleotides. It is a transcript of the gene named SZT2 subunit of KICSTOR complex, with no coding region annotated. The record is from RefSeq and is a predicted model, not a curated record. The transcript has 75 exons. Lineage: Eukaryota; Metazoa; Chordata; Aves; Accipitriformes; Accipitridae.